ACAUGACUCUUACGAGAAUCGUUCUGUCUACACUAACGGAAGGCCAGUGUUGGUGAUGAAACCUCUCUAAGUUGAAGCUGCGCUCCUUCCACGGUCGACUCUCGAGCAAUGCGGUUGGCUAACUUACCGACUUAGCUUCGAUUAAGAAAGGCAAAAUGCCAAAGCGAUCGCAGUCGUACUUGCGACAUACCGACUUGAUCACGACCGAUCGAAGGAUAUUCGGCUUGCCACCGUUUAUCAUACACCACGAUGUACCUGCCCGACCAAGGUCUGGGCAACGGAUAUUCAACUUGCGACAUACCGACUUGGUC
RNAcentral lists this long non-coding RNA (311 nucleotides) under Elaeis guineensis (African oil palm). Its description in RNAcentral is "long non-coding RNA (EGUI_LNC025485)". Lineage: Eukaryota; Viridiplantae; Streptophyta; Magnoliopsida; Arecales; Arecaceae. The record is from RNAcentral.